AAUGGAGAUGUAACAAGGAAAAGAAGGUAGUGCAGACAUAAAACAGGGGGCCAAAUUCAACGUCUUUUCUAUGAAGAAAAUUAAAACUUUUAUGGUGGUUUUAUGGUGUAUGUUCAUUGUUCAUAAUAUUUCAGAGGAAGAAUAAUUAGUUGGAGAAAAAAAAGUUACUGCUAGUUUUACAAACCAAAAAAAUUAAAUAGGAAUAUAUUUUGCAAUGGAAUUUUUCAAUGCCCUGUUAAUUCCAUCACUUCAUGUGGCAACCCAAAUCAUAGGUAUCAAAUUAUUCAGGUAAUUUAAAAUAUACACUUUAUUAGAUUUAUUUUUCUUCUACUUUUUCUCUCUCUCAUCCCUUAAGGAUAUCUCAUUAUGUUACAUCUUAAUGAUUCUUUAAUUUACAUUUGGUCAAAUAAAAUAUGAAACAACAGUAUCACAACAGCUACUUCAGUAAUCAAGAUGAUAAUGUAAUAAUGGAAUG
RNAcentral lists this long non-coding RNA (475 nucleotides) under Bos taurus (domestic cattle). RNAcentral describes it as "long non-coding RNA NONBTAT000554". Lineage: Eukaryota; Metazoa; Chordata; Mammalia; Artiodactyla; Bovidae. The record is from RNAcentral.